ACGGGGUGCAGCAGGCGCGAAAACUUUGCAAUGUGCGAAAGCACGACAAGGUUAAUCCGAGUGUUUCCUGCUAAAGGAAUCUUUUGUUAGUCGUAAAACCACUAUCGAAUAAGGGGUGGGCAAGUUCUGGUGUCAGCCGCCGCGGUAAAACCAGCACCUCAAGUGGUCAGGAGGGUUAUUGGGCCUAAAGCAUCCGUAGCCUGCUUUGUAAGUUUUCGGUUAAAUCCAUAUGCUCAACAUAUGGGCUGCCGGAAAUACUGCAUAGCUAGGGAGUGGGAGAGGUAGACGGUACUCCGUAGGAAGGGGUAAAAUCCUUUGAUCUAUGGAUGACCACCUGUGGCGAAGGCGGUCUACCAGAACACGUCCGACGGUGAGGGAUGAAAGCUGGGGGAGCAAACCGGAUUAGAUACCCGGGUAGUCCCAGCUGUAAACUAUGCAAACUCAGUGAUGCAUUGGCUUGUGGCCAAUGCAGUGCCGCAGAGAAGUCGUUAAGUUUGCCGCCUGGGAAGUACGUACGCAAGUAUGAAACUUAAAGGAAUUGGCGGGGGAGCACCACAAGGGGUGAAGCCUGCGGUUCAAUUGGAGUCAACGCCGGA
Molecule: ribosomal RNA, 596 nt
Filed under: uncultured Nitrosopumilales archaeon
Lineage: Archaea; Thermoproteati; Nitrososphaerota; Nitrososphaeria; Nitrosopumilales
Description: bacterial SSU rRNA
Rfam family: Archaeal small subunit ribosomal RNA
Source: RNAcentral